Molecule: ribosomal RNA, 406 nt
Filed under: uncultured bacterium
Lineage: Bacteria
Description: partial 16S ribosomal RNA
Rfam family: Bacterial small subunit ribosomal RNA
Source: RNAcentral
AUUGAACGCUGACGGCAAGCUUAACACAUGCAAGUCGAGCGAGCGGCGGACGGGUGAGUAAUGUCUGGGAAACUGCCUGAUGGAGGGGGAUAACUACUGGAAACGGUAGCUAAUACCGCAUACCAUCGGAUGUGCCCAGAUGGGCUUAUCUAGUAGGGGGGGUAAAGGCUCACCUAGGCGACGAUCCCUAGCUGGUCUGAGAGGAUGACCAGACACACUGUAACUUAGAACCGGUCCAGACUCCUACGGUAGGCAGCAGUGGGGAAUCUGGCACAAUGGGCGCAAGCCUGAUGCAGCCAUGCCGCUGGUAUGAAGAAGGCCUUCGUGUUGUAAAGUACUUUCAGCGGGGAGGCGUUACCCGCAGAAGAAGCACCGGCUAACUCCGUGCCAGCAGCCGCGGUAAUAC